RNAcentral lists this unclassified non-coding RNA (633 nucleotides) under Peregriana labiata. RNAcentral's name for it is "Radix labiata sequence contains ITS1". Lineage: Eukaryota; Metazoa; Mollusca; Gastropoda; Lymnaeidae. The record is from RNAcentral.
GGAUCAUUAACGCAUUCGCAGCAGGCUCGCUGUGAUUUGCAACGAAAAACACGUCCAAAAAGUCACGAAACACUGCCCGCGUGCCGCGUCGGCAUGAAGCCGUCGCCACGCGGGUCCGUCCGCUCCAAUAUUUUCGGGGUACCUACCUCUACCACUCACAAAUUUAAUUUGUUGUCCUCGAUGCGACCCACGGUGACGGCUUAGAGCCCGUGUGCUCGCCGGGUCGCUACGGUUCAAAGAGUGGCCGGCUCGCCGGCGACCGCCCCGACGUCCGAAAAAAAAACACGAAAAAACAUUCGUCCAGUCCGAUAAGAGAACCCCGGGGUACCUAUGCCCUUCUUGCUCGAUCCUGCUCGCUGGAGGCGCGCUCGCCAUCCUUGGGUCGGCACGCGUUUUGGGCGGGAGCUCCAAUUGCUCGUAUUUUGGCCGCGACGGUUCAAAGAGCCGACCGUGACCGUGCUCGCGUCGGUCGCCGCCCCGGGUCUCUCUAUUUUUAUUCUUUCACAUAUCAAGACAAAAUUUUUAUUUGGCCGUUAAAGAAAGUGGUAGCUUGCUUUUGCUUGCCCACUUAAAAAAAAAACGAAUGACAAAAAUAACUUUGAGCGGUGGAUCACUCGGCUCGUGCGUCGAUGA